AGGACGAACGCUGGCGGCGUGCUUAACACAUGCAAGUCGAGCGGAAAGGCCCUUCGGGGUACUCGAGCGGCGAACGGGUGAGUAACACGUGAGCAAUCUGCCCUUAGCUUCGGGAUAGCUCCGGGAAAACCGGAAUUAAUACCGGAUACGACCACGGCCGACAUCUGCUGUGGUGGAAAGGAUUCCGGCUAAGGAUGGGCUCGCGGCCUAUCAGCUAGUUGGUGGAGUAACGGCCCACCAAGGCGACG
RNAcentral lists this ribosomal RNA (248 nucleotides) under uncultured bacterium. RNAcentral describes it as "partial small subunit ribosomal RNA". It matches the Rfam family "Bacterial small subunit ribosomal RNA", at positions 26 to 278 of the family's 1533-position model. The record is from RNAcentral.